This 363-nucleotide long non-coding RNA is filed under the name Olea europaea (common olive). RNAcentral's name for it is "long non-coding RNA (OEUR_LNC010058)". Lineage: Eukaryota; Viridiplantae; Streptophyta; Magnoliopsida; Lamiales; Oleaceae. The record is from RNAcentral.
UACGAUGUGUAUCUGCUAACCUGCAUCCUCUUUUUCAAGAAGUUCAAUUACAGAAUUCAUUGUGUUAGGAAGAGCAACAAAAUUAGGCAAUUGUUGAGGCAAAAAUAAUGGGCUUCUAUAUCUUUCAAUACCUUCAUGCCAACCAGAUUCUCCAUAUGAAAAGAUUAAAGGAUAUUCCAAAAGAUCAUAACAACCAUAGUGAUAGUGAACUUUGUGCGAUUCACCAGAAUGACCAUAUAUAGUAAUAUCACGAAUACGAAUGUUCAUCAUCUUCAACCCAUACAGUAGCUACUUGAGAUACUGUAAGAGUAUUGAAAACUCUUUGAUCAACUCUUGGAUCACAUCUUAUUUGUAUUCGAUGAU